AUCAGAACACAGCAUACAGGUCAAAUAAAGUGUUCCAGUCCAUCCGUGUGUGCUGGUCGGAGGGCCUGUUCUACAAUGCAGGAAAAAGAGCCACAGAUUGGAUAUGAAGACACUGGAGCUUGUAUCUAGAUCUGCACCCUGGCUGUGUGACCUCAGGCUGGUGGCACCAGCAAGGGAGGGACCUAUUCAGCAGGCUGUGAAGAACAACGCAGGAGUGAAGGAUCCAGUGGUUAAGACUUCGCCUUCCAGUGCAGGGAGUGUGGGUUCUAUCCCUGAUCAGGGACCUAGGAUCUCACAUGUUUCCCAGCCAAAAAACCAGAGCAUAAAACAGAAGCGAUAUUGUAACAAGUUCCAUAAAGACUUUAAAAAUGGUCCACAUCAAGAA
Long non-coding RNA from Bos taurus (domestic cattle), 385 nucleotides. The record is from Ensembl. Lineage: Eukaryota; Metazoa; Chordata; Mammalia; Artiodactyla; Bovidae.